This 1450-nucleotide long non-coding RNA is filed under the name Anolis carolinensis (green anole). RNAcentral's name for it is "lncRNA (ENSACAG00000038674.1)". Lineage: Eukaryota; Metazoa; Chordata; Lepidosauria; Squamata; Anolidae. The record is from RNAcentral.
AUGAGGGGUAAUAAUGGGAGAAGCAAUAUUACUAGGGGUAGUAAUGAGAGCAGUAGAAGUAGCGAUAGUAUGAGGGGUAGUAAUGGGAGAAGUAAUAUUACUAGGGGUAGUCAUAAGAGCAAUAGAAGUAGGAACAGAAUGAGGAGAAGUAAUACUACUAGGGGUAGUAAUGAGAGCAGUAGAAGUAGGGAUAGUAUGAGGGGUAGUAAUGGGAGACGAAACAGCAGUAUGGGUGGCAAUAAGAGAAGAAACAGUACUUUGGCUGGUAAUAGGCAUAGAAGUAGUACUUGCAUGCAGUAGUAAUAAUAAUAAUUCUUACUCGCCUCUCCUCGUGGCUUGAGUCAGGUUACAGAAUAAUUAAAACAUGCAAACAUUGUAAUAUUGAUAAUAAUAUUAUAAUGUAAUACAAUAUUAUACUAAUCAAUAAUAUAAUAUAAUAUUAAUUAUAUAUUAUAUAUUAAAUGUAAUAUUACUAAUAAUAUUACCAUAGAAUUAUAUAGUGCAAUAUAGUAAUUUAAUUGCUUAUAUUGUGCUACGCUAAUAAUAUAUUGUAUGUACAUUUGAAUUGUAAGCUGCUCUGAGUCCCCUUCGGGGUGAGAAGGGCAGGAUAUAAAUGUAGUAAAUAAAUAAAUAAAUAAAUAUGACUACAAAUAAUACUAGGGGUAGUAUUAGCAAUAGGAGUAGUAAUAAUACUAGGGGUCGUAAUAAGAUCAAUGGGAAUAGGAACUGAAUAAGGGGUAGGAAUAGUACUGGAGUAAUAAUAUAAGUAUUAAUAGUACAUAGGGUAGUACUAGGAGUAUUAGUAGUACUCAUGUUGGUAAUAGUAGAAACUGUAUUUGGGGUGGUGGUAGAAUUCAGUUCCUCCAGUUUUGCCAGAUGAUUUCUUGUUCAAAAGCAGGUCACAUAUCUUCCGGGAAAUCGAAACGUUGAUUUUCCAACCUGAGGUUAUUUGUAGUCUUGCAAAUGCCUGCAAUUUCUUAUUUACUUAGACCCCCUUGAAGAGCCGAGGGGUGGAUCGAUGGGAUAAACCACUUAAGUGUGGGCCGGUGUGCAUUUAUUGAUGCAAGCGAAUGGGGCGAAUGGGGCGAGAGGGAAGCGCGGCUCGAAAGGGCACGGAGGACGUGGGAGGAGGAGGGGGGAGGCGCGUUGAGCCUUCCCCACUGGUUCCCCAAAAUGCCCCAUUUGUGUGCCGUUGCAGUCGAAGCCCUUGAGGCUCUUUUGUCGAAACAGUGUCCUCAGUGACAUGUUGGUUUGGGAGCACGCAAUUGCAAACAAGCACAUAUUUCCAAUCUCAUGGGUUUCAAUUGUGAUGGUACACAAAUGGGGCAUUUUGGGAAACCAGUGGGAAACGCUCCAUGCGUUGCCUUUUCUACUGGGAAAGGGAAUUGAUUACAUGUUAGUUGCUUGUAAUUUGUUAUUCCCACGCUCUGGCACGAAGAUGAAUACUAUG